RNAcentral lists this ribosomal RNA (890 nucleotides) under Galerina paludosa. RNAcentral describes it as "partial large subunit ribosomal RNA". It matches the Rfam family "Eukaryotic large subunit ribosomal RNA", at positions 78 to 954 of the family's 3401-position model. Lineage: Eukaryota; Fungi; Basidiomycota; Agaricomycetes; Agaricales; Galerinaceae. The record is from RNAcentral.
CCCUAGUAACUGCGAGUGAAGCGGGAAAAGCUCAAAUUUAAAAGCUGGCGGUCUCAGGCUGUCCGCGUUGUAAUCUAGAGAAGUGUUAUCCGCGCUGGACCGUGUACAAGUCUCCUGGAAUGGAGCGUCAUAGAGGGUGAGAAUCCCGUCUUUGACACGGACUGCCAGGGCUUUGUGAUGCGCUCUCAAAGAGUCGAGUUGUUUGGGAAUGCAGCUCAAAAUGGGUGGUAAAUUCCAUCUAAAGCUAAAUAUUGGCGAGAGACCGAUAGCGAACAAGUACCGUGAGGGAAAGAUGAAAAGAACUUUGGAAAGAGAGUUAAACAGUACGUGAAAUUGCUGAAAGGGAAACGCUUGAAGUCAGUCGCGUGGAUCGGAGAUCAACCUUGCUUUUGCUGGGCGUACUCUCCGGUUGACGGGCCAGCAUCAAUUUUGGGCGCUGGAAAAAGGCUAAGGGAAUGUGGCAUCUUCGGAUGUGUUAUAGCCCUUGGUCGCAUACAGUGGCUGGGAUUGAGGAACUCAGCACGCCGCAAGGCCGGGUUUUUAACCACGUUCGUGCUUAGGAUGCUGGCAUAAUGGCUUUAAUCGACCCGUCUUGAAACACGGACCAAGGAGUCUAACAUGCCUGCGAGUGUUUGGGUGGAAAACCCGAGCGCGUAAUGAAAGUGAAAGUUGAGAUCCCUGUCGUGGGGAGCAUCGACGCCCGGACCAGACCUUUUGUGACGGAUCUGCGGUAGAGCAUGUAUGUUGGGACCCGAAAGAUGGUGAACUAUGCCUGAAUAGGGUGAAGCCAGAGGAAACUCUGGUGGAGGCUCGUAGCGAUUCUGACGUGCAAAUCGAUCGUCAAAUUUGGGUAUAGGGGCGAAAGACUAAUCGAACCAUCUAGUAGCUGG